Mandrillus leucophaeus (drill) is the source of this 2261-nucleotide long non-coding RNA. RefSeq lists it as uncharacterized. The transcript has 2 exons. Lineage: Eukaryota; Metazoa; Chordata; Mammalia; Primates; Cercopithecidae. The record is from RefSeq and is a predicted model, not a curated record.
AACUAGCUUUGCCUACUAACCAUGUUUCUUUCCAUUUGUAUUAGGUUCUUUUUAUAACAGCUCAAAGUUUCAUUAAUUGCUGCAAUAAACAUUGAUUUUCAUGUUUGUGAGUCUGCAAGUCAGCUGGGCGGCUCUACUUCAGGUGGUAAGGGUGGAUCAGAGCUAUUCAUAUACCUCUUGUUCUCCUUGUCUAGUGGUUUCUAGGGAUAUGUUCUCAUAAUGAACCCCACAGAGGCUCGUGAAAGUGAGAGGAAACUAGGAUGCCUCUUAAGGCCUUGGUCAGGAUGGGGUCUCCUGUCACUUCCAUCGCAGUCUAUUGUAAGUCAUAUGACCAAGUUCAAUAAAAUAUAAACAAGUUAGAAAAACAAUGGGAGGAAUGGCAAAGUCAUAUGGCCAAGGCCAUGAGUGAUUAAUUUUAACACAGGAAAAAAGUGAAGCAUUAAAUGCAAUUAUUUAAUAUACAGUGCCUCAUUAACUGAAAUAUAAAAUGUGUUUACUGUAAAAUAUAAUCUGCUUAUCUCAGCAAAGAAAUACUAUCUUUAAAAAAUAUCAUUACUUCUAAGACGUCAUCAGUCUGCAACUUCUUUCCAUAGCCUUACUCAGGAUGCUCUGGCAGCUCCUACAUUAGCCUCGCAUUGUAAACUGGUAGAUUUCCUAGGAAACCACACAUCUAUUUAUUUUUCUUAUUUUAUAUGUUUAGGACAAUGUAUAGCUAAUUACCCUACUUUUAUUUGCAUACAAAUCUAAUACAAUCAGUUUUAUCACAGAUAUAAUGGAUUUUUCAAUAGUGAGGAGAGAGGUGCCUCCAUGAGCCUUCUCUUUAGAAAAGUGGCAUUCAGGACUCUUCAUUUGAAGUGAAGAUUGCUAUAUCUUUUGCAUUGCUGUAUUUUAGAUAAAUUAAGUUAUAAAUUGACACUAUAAUCAACUGACACCAUGAUCAGUGAUGAUGAUCACCCUCAUCAGCACUAGAGUUGACUUUUUGUUUUUAUAACCCCUCUGCAUGUAUGUUGAAUAGCAAAGUUCAUCAAAGAACAUGUAUUAGUCAAUGGUAAGUAAGAUAUCCUCAUCUAAGAAAUAACAUCACCUCGUCUAAUAAAGUUCUAAGAAGAGAGGGAAGAAAAAGUCUUGGGAGCUAGUCAGGAAAUAGUGUGUAUUUGCAGUUACCUAAACUGAACUCUACCAUUACUCCUAACCCAGCUCCUCCUCCUGUGUUUUACAUGAUUAAUGCCACCCCUGCCUCAACUAACCAAGAUCAGCUUCAUCACUGGGACCUCCCCAUUCUUCCUGUGCAAUAUUUUUCUUUUUUAUUUCUCCUUCUAAUAUUACUGUUAUCGCUCCAGUAAAGAUCUGUAAUAUAUUUCAUCUGGACUGAUACCAGGAAUGGUGGUGUUGCUUCCAAUCUGUUGCUGCUAGAUUAAUCUUUGCAAAGCACAGGCUUAAUUUCAUUGCUCCUUAACUAAAACCACUGGUGGCUUUCCAAUGCCUAAAAAAUAAAGUCAACCUCCCCAGCAGACAUUCAAGGCUUUCAGUGAUCCAUGGCUGUCAGCUCUCUCCAGGCUCACAUCCCACUCCACUCCUCUGAUGUUUCCUACACUACACUACACUACAUACACUACAGCCAGGUAGAAUGACUGUUCACCCAACACCAUUCAGGUUGUCUUCUCAACCUGAAAUACUCUUGCACCUUCAAAGCUCAGUUCAAGUGCCCGUUCAUUUGUGAAGCCUUCUCCAAGUCUCCAAGUCAGAAUGUCUCUUCCUUGUGCUACCACAACCCUUUACCUGAGCCUCCAUUAGUGCACUGAGACCAUUCUGUUCAGUGUUCGGGUGAAGCUUCUUGGUGCAAAAUAUGUUACCUAUUUCUUUCUGAAAAGUUGGAUUCAGGGAUAUUUUAGUAGGACCCAAGGUAAUAGUUCUAGCCAACCUCCCUGUCCACUGCCAAGCCGACUACAAACGCUUCUGUUGCUGGCGAGCUGGUCCAUGCCACUAGUUCUGCUUCAUUCUAUUUAUCUCUUAAUGUAAUCAUCUUCUUCCUCCAGGUUUUAAGAACCAGCCCAACUCCUGGUUCCCUGAUGAAGCUUAUAUUCCUCUACCCACAUCGAACUUUUUCUUUUUGGAGCAUGCCUUUAGUUUCUGUGUAGUUUGCCAUGCAGCACUUUAUUGUACACAUUAUUAAAACAGAAUUUUAAGGAUUAGAAUGAACCUUAAAAGAUCAUGUGUCUCAAAAUUUAAUGUACAUACAAAUUACCCAGGGAUUUUGUUGA